This 458-nucleotide ribosomal RNA is filed under the name Streptococcus sp. oral taxon 064. RNAcentral describes it as "bacterial SSU rRNA". It matches the Rfam family "Bacterial small subunit ribosomal RNA", at positions 28 to 470 of the family's 1533-position model. Lineage: Bacteria; Bacillati; Bacillota; Bacilli; Lactobacillales; Streptococcaceae. The record is from RNAcentral.
GACGAACGCUGGCGGCGUGCCUAAUACAUGCAAGUAGAACGCUGAAGAGAGGAGCUUGCUCUUCUUGGAUGAGUUGCGAACGGGUGAGUAACGCGUAGGUAACCUGCCUGGUAGCGGGGGAUAACUAUUGGAAACGAUAGCUAAUACCGCAUAAUAGUAGAUGUUGCAUGACAUUUGCUUAAAAGGUGCAAUUGCAUCACUACCAGAUGGACCUGCGUUGUAUUAGCUAGUUGGUGGGGUAACGGCUCACCAAGGCAACGAUACAUAGCCGACCUGAGAGGGUGAUCGGCCACACUGGGACUGAGACACGGCCCAGACUCCUACGGGAGGCAGCAGUAGGGAAUCUUCGGCAAUGGACGGAAGUCUGACCGAGCAACGCCGCGUGAGUGAAGAAGGUUUUCGGAUCGUAAAGCUCUGUUGUAAGAGAAGAACGAGUGUGAGAGUGGAAAGUUCACACU